This 458-nucleotide ribosomal RNA is filed under the name uncultured Sphingobacteriales bacterium. Its description in RNAcentral is "bacterial SSU rRNA". It matches the Rfam family "Bacterial small subunit ribosomal RNA", at positions 922 to 1382 of the family's 1533-position model. The record is from RNAcentral. Lineage: Bacteria; Pseudomonadati; Bacteroidota; Sphingobacteriia; Sphingobacteriales.
GGCACAAGCGGUGGAGCAUGUGGUUUAAUUCGAUGAUACGCGAGGAACCUUACCUGGGCUCAAAUGUAUGUUGACGUAUUCUGAAAGGGAUACUUCUUCGGACAAUAUACAAGGUGCUGCAUGGUUGUCGUCAGCUCGUGCCGUGAGGUGUCGGGUUAAGUCCCAUAACGAGCGCAACCCCUAUCAUUAGUUGCCAUCAGGUCAAGCUGGGGACUCUAAUGAAACUGCCUACGCAAGUGGUGAGGAAGGUGGGGAUGACGUCAAAUCAGCACGGCCCUUACGUCCAGGGCUACACACGUGCUACAAUGGCCGAUACAGAGGGCAGCUACCUGGUGACAGGAUGCAAAUCUCCAAAGUCGGUCUCAGUUCGGAUCGGAGUCUGCAACCCGACUCCGUGAAGUUGGAUUCGCUAGUAAUCGCGCAUCAGCCAUGGCGCGGUGAAUACGUUCCCGGGCCUU